Clupea harengus (Atlantic herring) is the source of this 808-nucleotide long non-coding RNA. Lineage: Eukaryota; Metazoa; Chordata; Actinopteri; Clupeiformes; Clupeidae. The record is from Ensembl.
CACACAGUUCCGCUUAACAAAGGAAGGUCAUUGGUCCAAGCUUGCAAUUCCUUGCAACGCAAACCCUCUGGUGUUGCUACAUUCCAGACACUGAACGCCAUACCCAAACUAUCUGUCCCGGCUUGCCAUCUUCCCGCAGGAGUGCAACAUCGCCGUUCCAAAUUAUAUUUAGUCAAGGACAUUCGCCUUAAUAAAUCAGCAUUAAUUAUUCCUAAAGUGGUGAUUGUAAUGAUUGAUAUACGUCUGUGCGUCACUGAACUCCAUAAUAGGACAUAGCCUAACCAUGGUGUUGAUGAUUUACAGUGACAAAAUAACAUUUAAAAGCCAGUAGCCUACUGCCCAUUGCUGACAAGCUGAAUCCCCAAGAUAACGGUUUUUGCUUCCAUCUACAUGCGCUCGCCGGAGAUUUCCCGUGAAUGAUUGUCGAGGGAGAAACCGGCAGAGCGGUCAGUGACCUCAUUAAGUCAACCGACGGAAUGCUCCGUGGCACAGUCGCACCUCCAUCAGCCCGAUAAAAGCCUUGCGGAAGGUUGGCCCCUUGGGAAGGCCCAGACUGCAGCGGGGAAUGCUGGAGCAGGAAUUUUGCCUGUGCGCGCCCCUGUCCGCUAUUCCGGAUUGAUGAUUAAUGAUGGAUUAAAAGCCAGUGAAUCUCCGAAGCAUUGGAAAGACUCAGCAGGCUUUGCUGAGAGAGAAAGAAUUAACACCAAAGGCAUUUUUCUGUUUUUAAUUAUUUCAGAGGAUUCUCACUGCCAGCUACAGGUAUAAACAGGGACUUUCUGCAGCAAGGAUUUGGUGGAUUUAUGUGGGG